GGAGGGCCGCGCCCCCGCGCACCUCCCUGCCCUGCGGGGCCCGGAGGCGCCGUGCACCCCGCACCGCUCGCAGAGGCGUUGAGGGGCGGCAGCGAGGCAGGCGCGGAGCGGCGGAGCGGGCUGCCCCGGGAGAAGGAUGGCCGCGGCGGCGGGGCAGCGCCGGGGAACAGCCGCACCCCUAUUCGCCCUCGCCCUGGGGCUCCUCGCCGCCGCAGCGCAGGUUUGUGGAGACCAAAGCCAAGGAGCAGUUUUCCUACGUGAAUUUACACUGAUUCGGAGAGAAAGUCUACAUGAUGAUUUCCUGUCUGAUUUGCUGAAUAACCACAGAACAGAAGAUCCGAGCUCCAGAACAGCUCGCUCAGAGGAAGAUCGAGACUCACUGUGGGAUGCCUGGGGUUCAUGGAGUGAAUGUUCACGCACGUGUGGAGGAGGGGCUUCGUAUUCACUGAGACGUUGCCUGAGCAGCAAGACCUGUGAAGGGCGAAACAUCCGAUACAGGACAUGCAGCAAUGUGGACUGUCCUCCAGAAGCAGGUGAUUUUCGUGCUCAGCAGUGCUCGGCGCAUAACGAUGUCAAGUAUCAGGGACAGUUUUAUGAGUGGCUUCCUGUCUCUAACGAUCCUGACAACCCAUGUUCGCUGAAGUGCCAGGCCAGAGGAACAGCUUUGGUUGUAGAGCUGGCACCAAAAGUUCUGGAUGGGACCCGAUGCUACACUGAAUCCCUGGAUAUGUGCAUCAGCGGCUUGUGCCAAAUUGUUGGCUGUGACCGCCAGCUGGGAAGCACUGUCAAGGAAGAUAACUGUGGGGUCUGCAAUGGUGAUGGGUCCACCUGCCGGCUGGUUCGAGGCCAGUAUAAGUCCCAGUUCUCAGCAAAUAAAAUGGUCGAUACAGUAGUUGCUAUUCCCUAUGGAAGCAGGCAUAUUCGCCUCGUGCUGAAAGGACCCGAUCAUUUAUAUUUGGAAACCAAGACUCUCCAAGGUGUUAAGAGUGAAAACAACCUCAGCUCCACAGGUUCCUUCAUUGUGGACAAUUCUAGCAUUGACUUCCAGAAGUUUCCAGACAAGGAGAUACUGAAAAUAUCUGGGCCUCUCACUGCAGACUUCACUAUCAAGAUAGUCUACGUUGGUGCUGCUGACAGUUCAGUCCAGUUCAUCUUCUAUCAGCCUAUCAUUCAUCGAUGGAGAGAAACUGAUUUUUUCCCUUGUUCAGCAUCCUGUGGAGGAGGUUAUCAACUGACUUCUGCUGAAUGUUUUGAUCUGAGGAGUAAUCGGGUAGUAGCAGAUCAAUACUGUCACUAUUACCCUGAAAAUAUCAAGCCAAAGCCAAAACUUCAGGAGUGUAAUCUGGAUCCUUGUCCUGCAAGUGAUGGAUACAAGCAGAUCAUGCCCUAUGACCUCUACCAUCCCCUUCCUCGAUGGGAAAGUACGCCCUGGACUGCCUGCUCCUCAUCCUGCGGAGGGGGCAUUCAAAGCCGCAGUAUCUCAUGUGUGGAGGAAGACAUUCAAGGGCAUAUUAGCCCCGUGGAAGAAUGGAAAUGCAUGUACACUCCAAAGAUGCCUCUUGUCCAACCUUGCAAUAUAUUUGACUGCCCAAAGUGGCUUGCUCAGGAAUGGUCACCGUGCACUGUGACCUGUGGACAAGGGCUCAGAUAUCGCGUGGUCCUUUGCAUUGAUCACAGGGGGAUGCAUACAGGAGGCUGUAGCUCUAAAACAAAGCCACACAUAAAAGAAGAAUGCAUUGUACCCACUCCUUGUUACAAACCCAAAGAGAAACUUCCCGUGGAAGCAAAGUUGCCGUGGUACAAACAAGCUCAAGAGCUGGAAGAAGGAGCAGUGGUGUCUGAAGAACCUUCGUUUAUUCCUGAGGCUUGGUCCUCCUGUAGUGUCACCUGUGGAGUGGGCAGCCAGGUGCGGCUUGUGAAAUGUCAAGUGCUUCUGUCUUUCUCUCAGUCUGUGGCUGAUUUGCCUAUUGAUGAAUGUGAAGGUCCCAAACCCGUGUCUCAGAGAGCCUGUUACAGUGGUCCCUGCAAUGGAGAAGCAGCUGAACAUACUCCUGAAGAAACGGAUCUGCUGUAUGGUAGAUUGCAGGAAUUCGAUGAGCUCUAUGACUGGGAAUAUGAGGGCUUCACUGAGUGUUCGGAGUCUUGUGGAGGAGGUGUCCAGGAGGCUGUGGUGACCUGCCUGAACAAGCAAACCAGGGAGAUUGCAGAUGAGACUCAGUGUGUAACAAGUCGCCGUCCUCCACAGCUGCUGAAAGCCUGUAGUCUGGAUCCCUGCCCUCCAAGAUGGGAAAUUGGGAAAUGGAACACCUGCAGUCUUACGUGUGGGGUUGGAUUGCAGACACGAGAUGUCUUCUGUUCUCACCUACUAUCAAGAGAAAGUAAUGAGACCGUGAUUUUAGCAGAUGAAUUGUGCCAUAAACCUAAGCCAUCGCUUGUACAAGCCUGUAAUCGCUUCGACUGCCCGCCCUCCUGGUAUACUACAGAAUGGCAAGAGUGUUCACAGACAUGUGGAGGUGGUGUCCAGAAGCGAGAUAUACUUUGCAAGCAGCGUCUGGCAGAUGGAAGCUUGUUAGAGCUGCCAGAAACAUUUUGCUCCAUGCCGAAGCUGAUUUCCCAGCAAACCUGCAAAAAUGAGGACUGUCCUAAUGAGUGGCUUCUUUCUGACUGGUCACAGGUAUCAGCUGGUGGCCAGUUUCUCCCAUUGUCAUCUAAUGGGUCAAAUGCUGCCAGCAUCAAAGUAAACUGCUUGUUUUGCUUAAUGGUACCACAUACUAAUAGUAUUAAUGAUAUUUCAGGGCACAACAGGCCAGCUCAUAAGCAAAGUCCUCAUAUUGUGGCCGUAAAGAAAGUUUACAUCCAGACAAGGAAGCAGAAGAAGCUACACUUUAUUGUGGGUGGGCAUGCCUAUCUGCUGCCCAAAACCUCUGUUAUUCUCCGAUGCCCCACAAGGAGGUUCCGGAAGUCAAUGAUCUUCUGGGAGAAGGAUAACAAGAGGCUCAUCAGCUCAGCUCACAUCACCAUUGCACCCUAUGGGUACAUGAAAAUCCAUCGUUUGAGGCCUUCAGACACUGGGAUAUAUACCUGCAUAGCAGGGCCAGCCCGGGAGCAUUUUGUAAUUAAACUAAUAGGAAGCAACAAAAAUCUCAUUGCUGGGCAGCCAGCUGGCAUUAGGGAGGAAGAGGCCAUGAGAAAGUCCGGUCUAAAUGAAGCCUUGCGAACACAGGAGAAACAUAUCAAUGGGAUUCUCUUCAAUGGAAGCAAGACUGAAAACCAGGAGUAUAGCCUGCCAUAUACUAUGGUCACAGAUCAGAAACAGUUGGAUGAUAUCAUAAGGAAUUUGUCUCAGCAACCUGAGGAGCUUAAAGAUAUUUACACUGAGCAGAUUGUUGUACAGUUGGCUCAUGAGAUUUUCAAGAGCCACUUGGAGCAUCAGGAAUCUGUCCUCAAAGCAUCAAGACGAAGAGUUGAUUCAGCUUCCAUGGAAUACCCUUUCCACAGACAUGUUUCUGGAUUUACCAGCUCCUUGAGGACAUCAUCUCUUUCUGCUUCAGAGGUUAUAAAAUCAUGUGAAUAUGUAAAAAUCCAACUAAAUAUAUUCAUUCUGACACAAACUGAGACCUUUACCUCCUUUCUGCUUUACUCUAGGAUGCUACUUCAGCCUGAUGACUCCUUGCAGAUUCUAGCACCUGUGGAAGCUGAUGUGGGUUUCUAUGCUUGCAACGCAUCUAAUGCUCUGGGAUCUGACUCUGUGUCCAUUGCUGUCACUCUAGCAGGUAAUAAUUCACUUAUUUUGAUAGCACACAACCUCUGUGUCUUAUACGUGUUAUGUGUUGUCAAUGUUUUUCCAGGUGUUCCUGAAGCGGAAGUUACUUGGUUUAAAAAUAAGGUCAAGCUGUCCCCUGCUCACCACCUGCACGAUGGGUUGCUGCUAAUUGCAAAUGUUUCUCUGUCGGAUCAGGGGUUAUAUUCCUGCAGGGCAGCCAAUCUACGUGGGGAGGUAACUGAAAGCUCCCAGCUGUUGGUUCUUGGUAAGUACAGGGUAUUUUGCUUGCGAAGCUAUAGGAAUAUAGCUGAUGGCCUAAUUAGCCUUCAGAAUUAA
RNAcentral lists this long non-coding RNA (4099 nucleotides) under Phasianus colchicus (ring-necked pheasant). Its description in RNAcentral is "lncRNA (ENSPCLG00000014788.1)". Lineage: Eukaryota; Metazoa; Chordata; Aves; Galliformes; Phasianidae. The record is from RNAcentral.